RNAcentral lists this ribosomal RNA (292 nucleotides) under uncultured Anaerolineales bacterium. RNAcentral describes it as "partial 16S ribosomal RNA". It matches the Rfam family "Bacterial small subunit ribosomal RNA", at positions 505 to 796 of the family's 1533-position model. The record is from RNAcentral. Lineage: Bacteria; Bacillati; Chloroflexota; Anaerolineae; Anaerolineales.
GUGCCAGCAGCCGCGGUAAAACGUAGGACGCGAGCGUUAUCCGGAUUUACUGGGCGUAAAGCGCGGGCAGGCGGUGGUCCAAGUCGGACGUGAAAGCUCCCGGCUCAACUGGGAGAGGUCGUUCGAAACUGGGCCGCUAGAGGGCAGUAGAGGGGCGUGGAAUUCCGGGUGGAGUGGUGAAAUGCGUAGAGAUCCGGAGGAACACCAGAGGCGAAGGCGGCGCCCUGGGCUGCACCUGACGCUGAGCCGCGAAAGCUAGGGGAGCGAACGGGAUUAGAAACCCUUGUAGUCC